RNAcentral lists this long non-coding RNA (21681 nucleotides) under Triticum aestivum (bread wheat). RNAcentral describes it as "long non-coding RNA (TAES_LNC000562)". Lineage: Eukaryota; Viridiplantae; Streptophyta; Magnoliopsida; Poales; Poaceae. The record is from RNAcentral.
GCCCCUAGGAGUUUUUAGCGGAUCAGCGGGAUUAAAUAAACACAUUUUAAUUCAAAUAUAAAUUUGAAUAGUCCCAAUUGGCCUCAAACCUUUUUGUACAUCCAUGUAAGAUAGCCUAGUAUUUAUGUGCUAAGUCUCACAAUUAACAAAAAUCAUCUGAUAGCAUAAAGUAAAUGCAAAACAUUGGAGAAAUUACAAAACAGUAAAUAAAAAUAAGAAAAGAAAGAUGCCUAACUACUACUGUGGAGUGGGCUCUUCUUGCAAAGUGCACUUGGCCCAUCGUGAAUAUUACCCAAUACAGCCCAUCUCUCCCUCCUCUUCAACCUUACCUACAGAGACUAGUGCUUGUCGUUCAUCCGCGGCCAUCGUCGCUCGAUUGCCGCCACGCACGCCACAGAGCCUCCCCAUCCCUAUAAGCACACCCAGGGAACCCUAGAUCGAGCUCGCCCGAUCCCCUCUUUUUCCCCAUCGUGCCCCCUCCUCAUCUGCUCGAAAUCGAGCGCAAGAGCUCGCGCGGUGAUUGCGCCGUCGUCAUGGUUGCCGUAGCCACUGGCCACCGUUCGCCGUCCGCUGAUGCCCAGAAGAAGCGCGUCGUCAUCCUCUUCUUCCACGUCAAGCGCCACCAGCUAGGACGGCCUCGUGCCGUCGCUUCCGUCGAUCCCCUCUGCGGGCAACCGUCGUUGUCCGUCGUCGACGCGCUCGACCCUGCCUCCCCCUCCGGUCGGCGGAGAAUGCCGCCACCACGCCGUCGUCACCAAGCCUCCCCCGAGCCCGCGAACGCACAUCUGCAGGGCCCGGUGAGCUCCUCGUCGUCUCCCCCUUUUUCCCCGUCGAAUCUGUCGCCUUAGGCCGUCUUAGCCGCCGCGUUGGAACCCUCUGUGAGCUCAUGCUGACCCUGCCCGCGCUUGACUUCUCUCGACCGCACCUCGUCGCUACUUGCCGCGACAUACGCCUGCGGGACGCGUCCAUGGCCGCUCCUGCGCCGCACACUAGCCGUUCCCGUCCAAUCACGACCCCGCGGGUCGCGCCCUCGACCUCAGGUGCGCGUACGUCCGCCUGCUGCUGCUGCUUUGCCGAUGCGGCUCCGCUCGCUGCACUGCUGCUUGGCGCGCGUGGUCGUGCGCCCUGCUCCGUCUAGCUGUCGUAACUGUUCUGUUGCUUGUGCUGUUCGCUGCUCUGCUGCUACUCUCUGCUGCCGCCGCUGCUUACUGUUGGUGCUGCUGCUAGUUGCCGCCGCCGCCGCUCCUGCUAGUGCCGUUUUGCUGCUAACUCUGCUCCGCUGCUGGUGCUCCUACUGCCUGCUACCGCGGACUGCUACUGCUACUAGCCAUGGCCAUGCCAUGGCCAUCCGUGUGUGGUGUGUGUGUGCUACGUGUGUGGCCGGCUCGGCCAUUGUCCAGUGCGGCCAGCCCCUUGUUAAAUUAGGAUUAGAUUAGUUUGGGUUAAAUUAGUGCUAAUUUAGUUUAAUAGCAAAUGACAUGUGGACCACCUGUGUUGGUUAUGUCUAAUUAAUUGACUUAAUAAAAACAGAGUCUAUGACAAUUGGCCACAACUGGCACUGUUCAUCAGUUGACCAGUCAAGCAUUGACUGGGUCAACUCAGAACCUGACCCACCUGUAAGCAUCUGGUUCUAGCUGUUCCUGGGUAAAAAAGGGUAAUUUUGCAUUUUAUUCUCGAAAUUAAUAAAAAAGAAAAUGUUUAAAACUUUAGAAAAUUAAUAUAAAAUAAACCGUAGCUCGGAUGGAAAAACUUUGUACAUGAAAUUUGCUUAGAACGACCAGACGAAUCCGGAUACGCAGCCCGUUCGUUCGCCCCACAUCCCUAGUAUAACAAAUACACAACUUUUCCCCUCCGUUUCAUCUGUCCGGAAAUGCGAAACACCGGGGAUACUUUCCCGGAUGUUUUUUCCCUUUGCCGGUAUCACCUACUACUGCGUUAGGUCACCCCUAGCACCGCGUAUUGCCAUCUUACACUUUGUGAUGCUUUGGUUGCUCUGUUAUUUAUUGUGUUCCCCCUCCGUUACUUCUUUCCGGUAGACCCUGAGACUGCCGGCGACCCCCGAUCGACUACGGUGUUGACGACCCCUGCUUCUUGCCAGAGCAACCAGGCAAGCCCCCCCCCUUGAUCACCAGAUAUCGCCUAUUCCUCUCUAUACUCUUGCAUUAGAGUAGUGUAGCAUGUUACUGCUUUCCGUUAAUCCUAUUCUGCUGCAUAGCCUGUCUUUGCCACUACUGUUGUUACCUUUACUUGCAAUCCUACAUGCUUAGUAUAGGAUGCUAGUUUUUCAUCAGUGGCCCUACAUUCUUGUCCGUCUGCUGUGCUAUACUAUCGGGCUGUGAUCACUUGGGAGGUGAUCACGGGUUUAUACUAUAUACUUUAUACAUUAUACAUGUGGUGACUAAAGUCGGGUCGGCUCGUGGAGCACCCGCGAGUGAUUCACGAUUGGGGGCUGAAAGGACCUUUGUCCCGACGGCCCUCUGGGUGGAUCUUUGUGGCGGAGUGACAGGGCAGGUUGAGACCGCCUAGGUGAGAGGUGGGCCUGGCCCUGGUCGGUGUCCGUGGUUACAUCAAUUAACAUGCUUAACGAGAUCUUGGUAUUUGAUCUGAGUCUGGCCAUUUGGUCUAUACGCACUAACCAACUACGUGGGAACAGUUAUGGGCACUCGACGUCGUGGUAUCAGCCGAAGCCUUCGUGACGUCAGCGACUGAGCGGCAUGCGCCGGGUUGGACCGCGUAACGCAACUUUCUUUGAAAUGGAGGUUGCUAGGUCUGCUCUCCGGCUGCGUACGCAACGUGCAGGUGUGCAAUGGGCGAUGGGCCCAGACCCCUGCGCGCAUAGGAUUUAGACCGGCGUGCUGACCUCUCUGUUGUGCCUAGGUGGGGCUGCGACGUGUUGAUCUUCCGCGGCCGGGCAUGACCCAGAAAAGUGUGUCCGGCCAAAUGGGAUCGAGCGUGUUGGGUUAUGUGGUGCACCCCUGCAGGGAAGUUUAUCUAUUCGAAUAGCCGUGAUCUUCGGUAACAGGACAACUUGGAGUUGUACCUUGACCUUAUGACAACUAGAACUUGAUACUUAAUAAAACACACCCUUACAAGUGCCAGAUAUAACCCGGUGAUCGCUCUCUAACAGGGCGACGAGGAGGGGAUCGCUGGGUAGGAUUAUGCUAUGCGAUGCUACUUGGUGAACUUACCAUCUACUCUCUUCUACAUGCUGCAAGAUGGAGGUGGCCAGAAGCGUAGUCUUCGACAGGAUUAGCUAUCCCCCUCUUAUUCUGGCAUUCUGUAGUUUAGUCCACCGAUAUGGCCCUUUACACAUAUACCCAUGCAUAUGUAUUGUAGCUCCUUGCUUGCGAGUACUUUGGAUGAGUACUCACAGUUGCUUUUCUCCCUCUUUUCCCCCUUUCCCUUCUACCUGGUUGUCGCAACCAGAUGCCGGAGCCCAGGACCCAGACGCCACCGUCGACGACGACUCAUACUACACCGGAGGUGCCUACUGCUACGUGCAGGCCGCUGACGACGACCAGGAGUAGUGUAGGAGGAUCCCAGGCAGGAGGCUUGCGCCUCUUUCGAUCUGUAUCCCAGUUUGUGCUAGCCUUCUUAUGGCAAACUUGUUUAACUUAUGUCUGUACUCAGAUAUUGUUGCUUCCGCUGACUCCUCUAUGAUCGAGCACUUGUAUUCGAGCCCUCGAGGCCCCUGGCUUGUAUUAUGAUGCUUGUAUGACUUAUUUAUGUUUUAGAGUUGUGUUGUUAUAUCUUCCCGUGAGUCCCUGAUCUUGAUCGUACACGUUUGCGUGCAUGAUUAGUGUAUGAUUGAAUCGGGGGCAUCACAAGUUGGUAUUAGAGCUGACUGCCUGUAGGAACCCCCCUUCCACACCCCUUCGCCAAAGUUGAGUCUAGUCGAUGAAAAUGGUUUUAUUAACAUGGUUGUGUGGCCCAUGGGCCCACGUCGCCAUUGGGUGGUAUUAGGAUCUUUUAUUCCUUGACCUAUACUCUGGGACUCUGAUCUCUCUUCUAUUCGGGUUAAAUGAUUUUACUAACUCUGACUCUAGGUUCGCGUAACUACUUCCACCCGGAGAGCCCCUUACUCUAGAUGAUUACUUGGUCCAUCGAAGGAUUUCGAAGAUACUCUCCGAUGUUCUCUCGAGACUUUGAGCCUGUUGCUUUUGCAAUUCCCUACCACCGAAAUAUCCCUAUGGAUAAAUACAUACACUUGCCGUUCUUACUUUUAUUCCCAGUUAAUCUUGUUAUAACUAGAUACCCUGAAAUCCCCUCUAUUGUUCCAAGAAUAUUUUGUGCCUACUGCCUUGCAGUUCCUUGCCACCUGAAUACCCCUACGGAUAAUUUCUCGCCUUUAUCGAGUAUCCGCUCAUCCGCAGUUGUUCAUGUGUUUCACAAUUGUCUUCGAAAUACUAUUCGAUCCUCCAAAAUUCCUCAGUAGCUUAUUGCUCUGCAAUACUUGUCUGCUUGCAUUAUGGAUGCUUUCCAUAUGUCUGGCAAUAUUCGUUAGUAUCCUUAGACACCGUCAUUUUGGUCCUAUCGAUUCAACAUGAGUGCGAAUUCACGCAAUCGUCAGUUGAUCCUUUUAAAUUAUAUUUCCGGCUCAGACGUCAUUUUGAACAUGAGCUGGAUCUCGACCAAUGAAAUUGCUGUUGAUUUUACCCCUAAGCUUACUGUGGCACCCCGGCUCAGAGCGACCGGUUUACCCUGCAUUGCCAGCCCAGAGAUCAUGUCUUCUGGCAACACACAACAUAUUGGUACAUAAAACAACCGCUUUAUUGAUGCUAGCGGAACAGAGUUCAUAUUACAACAGUGGUCGAGGCCAAGCGGCACACUCGGUGCGGCGGAACAAUAUGUACAUUAUUUAGUGAACAUAAAGGGGCCUCGACUCGAACAACUACGUGGCAGCGGAAUAACGUCAUAGCGGAAGCUCCAUAUCACAGGGACACUGAUGUGGACACGGUCUAGACUCGAACAGCGCUCCUUUCCAACGAGACUUUCCUGAAAUCUGGCAUGACACGCCAGGUCAGUACAUUGAAUGUACUUGCAAGCUCACAACAAGCAUAAUCAUAAUGACAAACAAUAUCAUGAUAUUUAACCAAUUAUUAAUAAUGCAACAUUAUAUGUCAACAUGCUGUGAUCAAGCCCGAACGUCCCUCGGGACAGCUUACCAACUGUGAUCAUCUCUGGACCACAAACACACCACCAUAGUGGUCUUUCUCAAGAACAACUCAUGAUCCUUACGUCGAUCACAACCACGACCAUCAUUUGGUCCCAAAUACCUCGAUGGCCUUUCUGCCAUCCAUUGACAAUGCAAAGUUCAUAGCUUAGUGUGCAAUUUUUAUUAAACGUUGACUCAUGGUGGGACCUAGUACGAGGUGUCCGUGACCGUGGACUCGGCUAUUGAUAGAUUAUACACUCUGCAGAGGUGGCACACCGUACCCACACCACGGAACCCAUGGCCUCGCAUUCCCAUUCGGGUGGACCAACGGCAUUCCGACAAAACCCCUCCAUUGUCACAGCACUCUCCCGGCCACUCCGACCCAAAUCCCCAACGGGCUGGUCCUGGGUGGCCCUGUGUCUACCAAAGACACCCCGACCACCGUCGUGGUCAAAACACUCCCACUCGGGGACUCGGUACCAUAAUCUCAUCAACGAGCACACAAGAUUAUGUGUGCUUACCGGGCCAGGGCAAACACGACAUAAUCAUCCCUAGAUGGAGGCACCGACCAGAGGCCGUGUCAAUGGACCGAAUCAAGGCCUUCCCACAAGGCAAAUGUGGUUGCACUGGAAAGAAACUCGAUUCAGCGGCACCAUGACCCAGUCAACGGUAUAUUCAAGUUGAGUUAUAUUCAGGAUUAACUUUAAACUAAAAAUGACCGGUGUCAUAGCAUGCCAUGAAAUGCAAAACAACACAUAAAUCACAUAUUGAUAAAAAUGACCGACGUCAUCCAUAUGCACACCAAGCAUAAACGUCAACAACUCAUAUUACUCUACUUGCUCAAAAUGACUCACAACUUAACCAAAAUAUUUUGCAACAAGUUUUAUUAAUUUCCUACGCAAGAAAGUAACUUCGAUAAAUUUUUCAUAUGCUUGACCAAAAGAUAUCAUUAUCAACAACUCUUAAUUUCUUUAUCACUAAGUUGGGUUCAAACAUUCUGUAAGACAAGUAAUAUGAUUAAACAAGUAUUUAACAGAAUAUUUUCUAACAAAUUUUUAUCAAUUUAAGAAUGCAAACACAAAGCUUUAAAUAAUUACUAACAUGCAUAACAAAAUUAUUUCUAACAUCACCUCAAAUAAAUUUUAACCUGCUUUACCCACUUAAACUAGUUUCAACUAUUCUGUAAAUCAAGCAUAACAAGUGACCAAUACUUAACAUAAUACAAAUAAUUCAAUAAUUAUUUAAAUGCAUGAGUUAAUCAUUUCAUUUAAGUGAGAAAAUCAUAAAUAUUGAAAUGGCAUCAUAAAAAUGUUGCUGUGGCUUGCCUUAGUGCAGAUGAGGUUCACAAGCCUCCUGGUGAUCCUCAAGACAAGCCUCACCUUCUGAAAAUAAUUUUAAACACAAAAAGAAAAUAUCAAGAACACUUCUGAAAUUCACCAGAAAUUAUAAAAAGCUCAGAAAAAUCUCAUCUUUGGUGAGCUGUUAGAUUUCCUUUCAAAGAACACAAUGCAAAAAGAAUCAUCUCAUUUGGACUUAUGGUUAAAAAGUUAAAAUUGUUUGAAGCUCUCUGGAAUAUAAAUGAGUCUGAAUAAAAAGAAACAGCUGGGGGGGUGACGUCGAAGGCGUAAAGCACAGGGGCGCCACCACUCGUACUGCUUCGCGCGUGUACUGAGUGGCUGACUAGCGGGCCCUGCUAGUCAGGUGGGGGAAGAGGGAGAGAGAAACAGAGAGGGCCGCGGCUUCGCCGGAGCUCUCGCCGGCGACGAGGGCUCCUUGGCCCAAACGAGAGGGAGGUAUUGAGAGAGGGGACGAUGGCGCACCUUCCCGUACCCGUAGCGUGGCUAGGGGUGGUCGGACAGCGUCUGAAACUAGCUCGCAAGCGGAGGUAGAACAUGGAGGUCGCCGGAGUUGAGGAAGACGGCGAGCAGAGGUCACUCCAGAGGCUCCAAGCGGGCGAGAUGGCCUCACCGGAGAGAGGCGGAGGCCCUGGAGGGGUCGCCCAGGCCUGGGAGGGGCUGGAGCUACCGCGGCGACCAGAGGGGAUCGCCGGCGAGGUCGAGCUCGGGGACGGCGGCCUGAGGCCUGCCCGGCCGGGCUACGGCUUCCUACUUGAUUGUGGGGUGUGUGUGAGUGCUGGAUGGUGCUCGAGGAGGCUGGGGGUGGCUCUAUUUAUAGGCGAGCGGCGAGGGUGCUUCGGGCUCCGCCGGUGGACACCUGUCCACGGCGCCCGGCGACGAGCGGCGUCAGUGAGAGGGGGAGAAGGCGACGGAGGUCACGCGGCCACUAUGGGCGAGCGGAGACGAGCACAGGAUCAAGGGGAUGGCGACGAGCACAGUGCGCUCCGCACUGUUGGGCUGGCCGGACCUUGCCCGUGCUCGCUGCAGCGAGCUCCGGCGUCGGCGAGUGCCAGGGAGGAGUUAAGGACGUCGAGACGAUGAUGGUGGCGGGGUUUGGCAUGGUUGGGCAGGCGGGGGAAGCGAGCGCGCUCGAACAGAGCAGUCGGCGUCACCCAGAGCGCGUCGACACGCAUGCCUGGCAUCGUGGACACGCGUGGUCACCGCGCAAACUCUCUCCUCAGGCCAGCCUUCGUCCAAAAAUCAUGUCUGGCAUGUUGUUCGUGGUAGUUUUGAAGUUUACAACGGUUUGGUUUGGAUCCAGGUGCAGUAGAGAAGAUUUUACAGGCCAGGUAAGUUUCUGGACAGUAACUUUGUGAUGUUACUGUGGUCAAAUGGCUGGGAGUUUGGGGCUGUGCUUUGGAGGCUAGUUAUAAGUUACUAAGGUAAAGAUGCACAAGAAAGUUCAGGUCAAAUGGAGCAAGUAAAAUGGUAGUUGCUGUAGAAACCACCAUUUCUGUCCAGAACAGAAAAUAUUUUCUGUAGCAAAAAUAUUCCAAAAAGUGAUGAAAUAUUUUUGCUCAGGGAGGUGCCCUAGGGUCCCUAGAAUAUUUGUGAAUUAUCUUAGAAUUUUCCGAGCCAUAAAAAUUAGGGUUGCCUUGAAGCAAACAGAUCUGGCUUAGGGUUUUUGAGAGAAAAUAAAUAUUUUUCAUUUAAGAAAAAUAUUCCAAAGGUUAUUUUGUGGUGGAUCAGAAGUGAAGUGAUGGUUUGGGAGAGAAGUGAACACUUGGGAGAAAGCUAAGGAUGCCCAAGUGUUUAAGUCCAAAUUAAAAGAUUCAGAAACUCCAAGUUUCAAAAACUUUCAAAUGAAAUUUCAAGCAAAUAAGAAAGGGCAAAAACCAGGCUGUCACAAACCUCCCCCACUUAGAAUGAAUCUCGUCCUCGAGAUUCGGUUCCUUGGGAAAACCACUCUGGAUACUGACUCUUAAGGAACUCUUCCUGCUCCCAAGUUGCUUCUGACUCGGUGUGAUGCUCCCACUGAACUUUGAAAAAAUUUCUGACUUUGCUGCGAGUGACCCUUUCCACUUGAUCCAAAAUUUUGUACGGUCUUUCUUCAUAAGUUAAAUCGUUUGCCAAUUCUAUCUCAGCCAUUGCAGUCCUUUUCUCAGGCGGGGAUAUGCAUCGUCUCAAUUGCGAAACAUGGAACACAUUGUGUAUUUCUGACAACUCCGGGGGUAGUUCCAUUUGGUAUGCAACCGUACCCACUCGAGACAUAAUUGAGAAUGGACCAAUGAAUCUGGGUGCCAGCUUUCCACGAGUCUGAAAUCGCUUAACUCCUUUCAUAGGAGUGACUCGGAGGUACACAUGUUCUCCGGGUUCAAAACUGACCUGCCGGUGCUGUGCAUCAUAAUAACUCUUCUGACGGGAUUUGGCCAAUUGCAGUCGGUCUCUGAUUUCCCUGACUUGUUUCUCGGCUUCCAUCAUGAGAUCGGUUCCGAAGAUAUGGCUAUCUCCAGCUUGAGACCAAUUUAGAGGAGUGCGGCACUUACGACCAUAUAGAGCUUCAUAGGGUGACAUCUUUAGACUGGUCUGGAAACUGUUGUUAUACGAGAACUCGGCGUAUGGCAAGCAAUCUUCCCAGUUCGCCCCGUUGGCUAGCACAUAGGCUCACAACAUAUCUUCGAGUAUUUGAUUUACUCGCUCUGUCUGACCGUCCGUCUGGGGGUGAUAAGCAGUACUAUAUUUUAGUGCCGUCCCCAAGGCUUGAUGGAGGCGGGACCAAAAAGCGGAGGUAAACAAAGAACCUCGGUCGGAAGUGAUAGUCCGGGGUACCCCAUGCAGACUGACGAUUCUGGAUACAUACAGUUGCGCCAGUUCAUUUGCUCUGUAUCUGGUGCUGACCGGGAUGAAAUGAGCAACCUUGGUUAGGGUGUCCACUAUAACCCAGAUUGCGUCUUUGCCUCACUGAGUCCUAGGCAAUCCGGUGAUGAAGUCCAUGCAAACAUCAUCCCAUUUCCAUUGUGAAACUGGCAGUGGUUGGAGAAGUCCGUCUGGCUUCUGAUGCUCUGCUUUCACCUUGUUGCAUAUGUCGCAACAGGCUACAAAAUAGGCAAUGUCUUUCUUCAUCCCAUUCCACCAGAAUAUUUGUUUAAGGUCUUCAUACAUUUUCGUACUUCCCGAAUGAAUGGAAUACGAGGAUUCGUGUGCUUCUGACAAGAUUUUCCUCUUCAAGUCCGGUUGAUUUGGUACACAAAUUCGUCCACGGAAUCGGAGGGUACCGAAGUUGUCCUUGAAGAAAUCUGGGGGCUGCCUUGCAUGUUUUUGUAGCUUGGCGUCAUCUGGCUGGGCCUUGCGGAUUUCCAUCUCAAGUGUGGGGGUAACUUCCAAAAUAUUAGUGAGGCCAGCAUCCACGAUGACCAAGUUGAGCUGAGCGAUCUCCUCCUGAAGUUCGGUAGGCAAUGAUUUUAACAUGACAUUUAAGCUGACGGGCUUUCGACUGAGCGCAUCGGCAACGACGUUGGCCUUGCCUGGAUGGUAAUUUAUUCCAAGGUCAUAAUCCUUGACCAACUCUAACCAUCUUCGCUGACGGAGAUUUAAAUCUGGCCGACUGAAGAUGUACUUGAGGCUUUUGUGGUCGGUAAAAAUUUGGCACCUUUUUCCAAUGAGAUAGUGUCUCCAAAUUUUUAAUGCAUGAACCACUGUAGCCAAUUCCAAAUCAUGAGUAGGAUAAUUUCCCUCAUGUUGUCGUAGUUGUCGUGAUGCAUAGGCUACUACCUUGCCGUCUUGCAUCAAUACACAACCAAUACCUUGACUGGAGGCAUCGCAGUACACGUCGAAGCUGCGAUAAAUGUCUGGAAGAGUCAAUACGGGUGCGGUUGUCAGACGCGUCUUUAGCUCAUAAAAACUCUUCUCAGAGUCCUUGGUCCACUCAAACUUUGUAUCCUUUUUUAGCAGUUCCAUCAUAGGUUUAGCAAUUUUGGAAAACCCUUCAAUGAAACGACGAUAGUAUCCAGCUAAUCCAAGGAAACUCCGGAUCUGUGUUACAGUCGUGGGCGGUACCCAAUCGAGCACAUCCUUUACUUUGCUCGGGUCCACGGCUAUGCCUUCGGCGGAUAGUACAUGCCCGAGAAAUCCAACUUGCUUGAGCCAAAAUUCGCACUUACUGAACUUGGUGUAUAGCUGAUGGUUGCGGAGCCGUAGUAGCACUGCCCGUAGGUGAUCCUUAUGCUCUUCUUCACUCUUGGAGUAAAUGAGGAUGUCGAUAAAGACUACCACAAAUUUGUCGAGGAAGUCCAUGAACACCUUGUUCAUCAUAUGCAUGAAGAAGGCAGGGGCAUUGGUGAGACCAAAGGACAUCACAGUAUAUUCGUAAAGACCGUAUCGUGUAGUGAAUGUGGUCUUAGGAAUAUCUUCCCUUUUAAUCUUGAGCUGAUGAUACCCGGUCCGUAAAUCGAUUUUUGAGAAUACUUUAGCCCCGCUGAGCUGAUCGAACAGAUCAUCAAUCCUUGGCAGUGGGUAUUUAUUUUUGAUGGUGACCUCAUUCAGCUGGCGAUAAUCUAUGCACAUACGGAGACUGCCAUCCUUUUUACCCACGAAGAUUGCAGGUGACCCCCACGGUGAAGAGCUGGGACGAAUAUAACCUUUCUGGAGUAAUUCGUCAAGCUGUUUCUUUAGUUCCACUAAUUCUGAUGAGGGCAUCCGGUAAUACUUCUUGUAUAAUGGUGCGGUUCCGGGCACAAGAUCUAUGGCAAAUUCCAGUUCCCGAUCUGGUGGCAUGCCUGGCAGUUCUUCUGGAAACACAUCAGGGUACUCACUGACCACAGGAAUAAAUUCCAAUUCGACCACAGCAGUGCACACUAGUUCUGGCUUGGGUAUAUGCUUGCGAGCAUAGAAUUUGGUGAGCUGCCCAUUCAGACUGGUUAAAUUGACUUCUCGGGUUGCGCAGUUUAUACAAACUUGAUAUUUGGUCAGCCAAUUCAUUCCCAAUAUAAUAUCCAACUGUUCAGACUCAAUGAUUAUCAGAGAUGUUGGAAAGUGGACCCCGUUGAUAUUGAUCUCCAGACCACAGCAGACUAGAUUGCUCUUGAUUAUAGAUCCCAGGGUUUGUACCAGCAUAUUUUUGCCCAAAAUUGUGCAAGGAAAAUUGUUUUGGGCGGCAAAACUCCGAGAAAUAAAAGAAUGGGAAGCCCCAGAGUCAAAUAAAAUUACUGCAGGUAUGUCAUUAACAUAAAACAUACCAAUGACGACUUCUGGCUUCUCUUGGGAUUCAUCGGUGGAGAUAUGAUUCACGUGCCCAGUGAAGUUUUGCUGGGUUGGCCCUGACUCCAUAAAGUUGACUUGUGGCCUGCUCAGCGCAUUCACCUUGUGGUUCUUGGGGCACUGUUUGGCAUAAUGUCUGGGUUGCCCGCAAGUGAAACAAGAAUUAUUGCACUGCCGCUCCUCAUGCAUUGGAUUGGCCACAACAUUCUUGACUUGAGUGGUGGUCUUGUUAACAUUCUGCUGCCAAUUUGGCCGGUAUUCCACCUGAGUCUGCUGCCAGGUAUGAGCCUUUUGCAUAGGUUGCCCAUCCUUCUUUGGCUCAAACUUGUGCUUGUUGUCGUUAACAGCCUAUUAUCUGAUAUAAGCUUGUGUUCCCGUUCAGCAAUGAAUGCCUUGUCUACCAGAGUUUAGAAAUCCGUGAAAUCAAACAUACUGAGAGCACACCGAAGUUGCAGAUUUAAACCUCCAAGAAAUCUGUCCAUCUUACUUUCUUCGGUGGCUAGGUCAUACAGAGAGUAACGGGCCAGAUGAUUGAAUUUUUGCAGAUACUCAGCCACAGAUUGAUUUCCUUGGACAAGCGCGAGAAAUUCAUGCUGCUUGGCCUUCAUAACUCCAGUAGGGAUGUGAUAUUUGCGGAACUUAUCCUUGAAUUUUUUUCCCAGGUGACUUCCUCAUCAAUCAGCCACAUGGCUUUUGUAUUUUCCCACCAUAUGGCAGCUGCGCCUUCAAGGUAAUGGGUUGCAAAUGGGACUUUAUCAUUUCCUUUAGUACGGGCGAUCUCAAGCUUUUUCUCCAUGGUGCGCAACCAAUCGUCUGCAUCCAAUGGGUCAACAACCUGACUGAAAUAGGGUGGAUUGGUCCACUGAAAAUCUGACAGCUUUGAGUGAUGACCAUUCUGAUUUCCAUUUUGUCCAACUAUAGCUUGCACACUUCUCAAUAUUUCAAUCAGAUCAUUGUUCCUUUUUUCUUCAAACAUACGCUGAACUUGCUCGGUGGAGGGAGGAUCAGGCGGAGGAGGUGGUGGCUGAACGUACGGCUCGGGAGAAUAUCCUACCUGUCGUGCGGAACGACGAACAGGAGUUCCCUCACGAACAUUGCUACUGCCGCCUCCCCGCGUUAUCCUAUUGAGUAUUUUUCCCAAGGCAACGAAAUCGAGAUGAGAGACAUCCAAGAAUAAAAUUGGGGAAAAGCAAGCAACAAUUCUCGAAAAAGACAAAAGAGCGAAGAGAAUACGGCGAUUAAAGUCCCAUCAUAAUUAUACAUAGACUCAUACAUGAAAAUUUAACAACCUGACUGGUUCCACUACUCUCAUACAUGAAGCAUCAUGACUCGUACAACUACAUCCGUACACUAUCUAGACGACUGCGAAUACUCAAAGACACUACUGCUCUGCUGGUGCUGCGGUGUCCUCCCCUGAAGCGGUCUCAGAUCCCGAACUGACGUGGUUAACAGAAACCUCCGGGUUAAAGGUAACACGACGACGCUGGCUCGAGGGCUCUCCCUCAGGGGCAGGGGUAGGAUGAAGCAUCGGGGCUGCAGGAGUAGCAAGAAGUGAGACCCACUCAGCAGGAGUACUGAGAGGGUUCACGGCCGGAACGCCUGUGCUACUCGGGGGAGUAACCGGCAAAAUAGGGGAGCUAGAGCUAACUGGGACAUAAGGGGUAAAUCCCAGUGAGGAUGGAGUAGUGGUGGAUCUAGUAGUGACCAAGGUAGCGGCUAAAGCAGUACGGGCACGAGUCAGCGCUCGAGCGAGCUCAUGGAUCAUCAGAUAGCUAGCAGUGAUAUAGCGAGCAAGAUGGCUAGCAACACUAUCAGACUCCGGGUUAACGAGAGGAAAAUGGACACGACCGUUGUCGUGCAGAGAUGGGUAGUAAUAGAAUCCUGGGUGAUGCUGCAUUUGAACCUCGGUAUAAUGAAGCUCGACAAGGACCUCAAAUGCGGCAAACUGGACAGCCUGAGAAGCGGUGGAGGCGUAACCGCUCUGAGAAGUGCGAGUGUAAGAGCCGGAAUCGGAACUGGUGCGCAGAGUAACCACUGCGUGAUACUCAUACACUGAGUCUGCUAGACGCUCCCGGUACACACGGUAGACUGGUUCGUCUCCGUGAGGGUACAGCCGACGCCACACGUUGCGGAGAAGGUGCGGUGACGUGUACGGCAUCAACUACAACUGGCACGGAUACGACACCGGAGCCAUCUACACUCACAACCAUUAACAGGUUAGCAUAAAAAUAAUGACUACAAUGCAACAACCAGCUAUAACUACUACCGACACUCACAUUUACUCGUGUCUAGCGUCCAGUUAACACGUCGUAGUCUAGCGUGGCCUACAGUCAGCGCGGCUCUGAUACCAACCGUUGUGGCACCCUGCCUCAGAGCGACCGGUUUACCCUGCAUUGCCAGCCCAGAGAUCAUGUCUUCUGGCAACACACAACAUAUUGGUACAGAAAACAACCGCUUUAUUGAUGCUAGCGGAACAGAGUUCAUAUUACAACAGUGGUCGAGGCCAAGCGGCACACUCGCUACGGCGGAACAAUGUGUACAUUAUUUAGUGAAUAUAAAGGGGCCUUGACUCGAACAACUACGUGGCAGCAGAAUAACGUCGUAGCGGAAGCUCCAUAUCACAGGGACACUGAUGUGGACACGAUCUAGACUCUAACAAGCUCCUUUCUAACGAGACUUUCCUGAAAUCUGGCAUGACACGCCAGGUCAGUACAUUGAAUGUACUUGCAAGCUCACAACAAGCAUAAUCAUAAUGACAAACAAUAUCAUGAUAUUUAACCAAUUAUUAAUAAUGCAACAUUAUAUGUCAACAUGCUGUGAUCAAGCCCGAACGUCCCUCAGGACAGCUUACCAACUGUGAUCAUCUCUGGACCACAAACACACCACCAUAGUGGUCUUUCUCAAGAACAACUCGUGAUCCUUACGACGAUCACAACCACGACCAUCAUUUGGUCCCAAAUACCUCGAUGGCCUUUCUGCCAUCCAUUGACAAUGCAAAGUUCAUAGCUUAUUGUGCAAUUUUUAUUAAACGUUGACUCAUGGUGGGACCUAGUACGAGGUGUCCGUGACCGUGGACUCGGCUAUCGAUAGAUUAUACACUCUGCAGAGGUAGCACACUGUACCCACACCACGGAACCCAUGGCCUCGCAUUCCCAUUCAGGUGGACCAACGACAUUCCGACAAAACCCCUCCAUUGCCACAACACUCUCCCGGCCACUCCGACCCAAAUCCCCAGCGGGCUGGUCCUGGGUGGCCCCGUGUCUACCAAAGACACCCCGACCACCGUCGUGGUCAAAACACUCCCACUCGGGGACUCGGUACCAUAAUCUCAUCAACGAGCACACAAGAUUAUGUGUGCUUACCGGGCCAGGGCAAACACGACAUAACCUUCCCUAGAUGGAGGCACCGACCAGUGGCCGUGUCAAUGGACCGAAUCAAGGCCUUCCCACAAGGCAAAUGUGGUUGCACUGGAAAGAAACUCGAUUCAGCGGCACCAUGACCCAGUCAACGGUAUAUUCAAGUUGAGUUAUAUUCAGGAUUAACUUUAAAUUAAAAAUGACCGGUGUCAUAGCAUGCCAUGAAAUGCAAAACAACACAUGCAUCACAUAUUGAUAAAAAUGACCGACGUCAUCCAUAUGCACACAAAGCAUAAACGUCAACAACGCAUAUUACUCUACUUGCUCAAAAUGACUCACAACUUAACCAAAAUAUUUUGCAACAAGUUUUAUCAAUUUCCUACGCAAGAAAGUAAAUUCGAUAAAUUUUUCAUAUGCUUGACCAAAAGAUAUCAUUAUCAACAACUCUUAAUUUAUUUAUCACUAAGUUGGGUUCAAACAUUCUGUAAGACAAGUAAUAUGAUUAAACAAGUAUUUAACAGAAUAUUUUCUAACAAAUUUUUAUCAAUUUAAGAAUGCAAACACAAAGCUUUAAAUAAUUACUAACAUGCAUAACAAAAUUAUUUCUUACAUCACCUCAACUAAAUUUUAACUUGCUUUACCCACUUAAACUAGUUUCAACUAUUAUGUAAAUCAAGCAUAACAACUGACCAAUACUUAACAGAAUACAAAUAAUUCAAUUAUUAUUUAAAUGCAUGGGUUAAUCAUUUCAUUUAAGUGAGAAAAUCACAAAUAUUGAAAUGGCAUCAUAAAAAUGUUGUUGUGGCCUGCCUUAGUGCAGAUGAGGUUCACAAGCCUCCUGGUGAUCCUCAAGACAAGCCUCACCUUCUGAAAAUAAUUUUAAACACAAAAAGAAAAUAUCAAGAACACUUUUGAAAUUCACCAGAAAUUAUAAAAAGCUCAGAAAAAUCUCAUCUUUGGUGGCUGUUAGAUUUCCUUUCAAAGAACACAAUGCAAAAAGAAUCAUCUCAUUUGGACUUAUGGUUAAAAAGUUAAAAUUGUUUGAAGCUCUCUGGAAUAUAAAUGAAUUUGAAUAAAAAGAAACAGCUAGGGGGGGUGACGUCGAAGGCGUAAAGCCUAGGGGCGCCACCACUCGUACCGCUUCGCGUGUGUACUGAGUGGCUGGCUAGCGGGCCCCGCUAGUCAGGUGGGGGAAGAGGGAGAGAGAAACAGAGAGGGCCGCGGCUUCGCCGGAGCUCUCGCCGGCGACGAGGGCUCCUUGGCCCAAACAAGAGGGAGGGAUUUAGAGAGGGGACGAUGGCGCACCUGCCCGUACCCGUAGCAAGGCUAGGGGUGGUCGGACGGCAUCGGAAACUAGCUCGCAAGCGGAGGCAGAACAUGGAGGUCGCCGGUGUUGAGGAAGACGGCAAGCAGAGGUCACUCUAGAGGCUCCAAGCGGGCGAGAUGGCCUCACCGGAGAGAGGCGGAGGCCCUGGAGGGGUCGCCCAGGCCUGGGAGGGGCUGGAGCUACUGCGGCGACCAGAGGGGAUCGCCGGCGAGCUCGAGCUCGGGGACGGCGGCCCGAGGCCUGCCCGGCCGGGCUACGGCUUCCUACUUGAUCGUGGGGUGUGUGUGUGAGUGCUGGAUGGUGCUCGAGGAGGCUGGGGGUGGCUCUAUUUAUAGGCGAGCGGCGAGGGUGCUUCGGGCUCCGCCGGUGGACACCUGUCCAUGGCGCCCGGCGACGAGCGGCGUCAGUGAGAGGGGGAGAAGGCGACGGAGGUCACGCGGCCACUGUGGGCGAGCGGAGACGAGCACAGGAUCAAGGGGAUGGCGACGAGCACAGUGCGCUCCGCACUGUUGGGCUGGCCGGACCUUGCCCGUGCUCGCUGCGGCGAGCUCCGGCGUCGGCGAGUGCCAGGGAGGAGUUAAGGACGUCGAGACGAUGACGGUGGCGGGGUUUGGCAUGGUUGGGCAGGCGGGGGAAGCAAGCGCGCUCGAACAGAGCGCUCGGUGUCACCCAGAGCGCGUCGACACGCAUGCCUGGCAUCAUGGACACGCGUGGUCACCGCACGAACUCUCUCCUCAGGCCAACCUUCGUCCAAAAAUCAUGUUUGGCAUGUUGUUCGUGGUAGUUUUGAAGUUUACCACGGUUUGGUUUGGAUCCAGGUGCAGUAGAGAAGAUUUUACAAGCCAGGUAAGUUUCUGGUCAGUAACUUUGUGAUGUUACUGUGGUCAAAUGGCUGGGAGUUUGGGGCUGUGCUUUGGAGGCUAGUUAUAAGUUACUAAGGUAAAGAUGCACAAGAAAGUUCAGGUCAAAUGGAGCAAGUAAAAUGGUAGUUGCUGUAGAAACCACCAUUUCUGUCCAGAACAGAAAAGAUUUUCUGUAGCAAAAAUAUUCCAAAAAGUGAUGAAAUAUUUUGGCUCAGGGAGGUGCCCUAGGGUCCCUAGAAUAUUUUUGAAUUAUCUUAGAAUUUUCUGAGCCAUAAAAAUUAGGGUUGCCUCGAAGCAAACAGAUCUGGCUUAGGGUUUUUGAGAGAAAAUGAAUAUUUUUCAUUUAAGAAAAAUAUUCCAAAGGUUAUUUUGUGGUGGAUCAGAAGUGAAGUGAUGGUUUGGGAGAGAAGUGAACACUUGGGUGAAAGCCAAGGAUGCCCAAGUGUUUAAGUCCAAAUAAAAAGAUUCAGAAACUCCAAGUUUCAAAAACUUUCAAAUGAAAUUUCAAGCAAAUAAGAAAGGGCAAAAACCAGGCUGUCACACUUACUCAACUUAUCCAUCCUUAUUCAGAGCGUUUGCUUCUGAUCCUUUGAUUUGGAAAUCAUAAUUCCUUUACAUGUGAGCUUUGAAUUAGUCAGUUACUUCUAUAAUCCAAUGCCUUCGCAUCGUUUCUUCUUCUGGUUGUGUGCCGAUACUCGCAUCAGCUCCGCUAUGGACCGUCGGAUCCUUUGUUGAAAUAUCAUCCGAUAGUGUCCUUCGUAUACAAAAACCUCGAGAAAUUCUUUCCCUGAUACAAAAUGCCUUUGGUAAAUUGUAUCCUCUCCUUUUGUCACCCAUGCUCUACUAUCGAGCUUGUGUUAUUUACUAUUGAAGUUUGUGGUAUAUGUUCCUAAGAUGCCCUGGUGGGUUGAACCAACGCCUUCCCUAAUCUGUGUAAACCCGAAAGAUUUCUCGGGUCAUACUUGUCUGGUAUUGCACCAGGUAAAACUUUCAACAACUAAUGUCAUUUUCGAAAUACGAGAGGUGAAUGGAAGGUUAUGCAUUGGAGAAGUGGGAGUCAACCUUGAACUUUGUGUUCAUGCCCAUGGACACGAUGUAGAUCUUAUCAUUAAAGCCUCUCUUAAAUCAUUUUUUCCUUGGUAUAAGUUUAUCUUAUAUCUGGGAUCUGGCCUUUUGCAAUCGUGGUUCUGACCAUGUUCUCCUUUAUAUACCAUUUCUCGUGCAAGUUUAAGCACUUGUCCUCCGCAGAACAAUACCCCAGUCCAACCUCUACUUUGAUCUGUCGUCGAGUAUUACCCCCCUGGUAUCUCGAGAUUAUCACGGAACUGCAUAACUUCUUAUGAGUUCUUCAUCAAGUACUACAUUCUCACUGAUCCCAAUUUUUUUACGGGCUCUGAGUUAUUAAACACUCAAAGACACCGAUAACUGAAUCGAGUUCGCACCCCGAUUAAACAACUCUUGGUAACCUUCAUUACUUACGAAUUUGAACUCGAUCACGUAAGUCCUAGCCUGCUCGGCUAUAUCAUUAUCAUGCUAUACUUUAACUGUGCUACCUGGUCCUUAUUCCUGGAGCACAACUUUCGACGAUGAGCUAAGCUUAUGUCAAUCUUCCUCAUCAUAUCAUUUCGCCUUGAACAGCGAGCUUAGUUUUGAGUUUGUGUCGUACCCUUGGUUCCAAUAACCUUUCGCUUCACCAUUCCUUUGACUUGAUGUCAUUGCCAAUCGAUUACAUCUUGAAAUCUCUCGACAAAUUUGUCGUGAUCAUCAUCGGCAUUCUGAGCUCUUCCAGGAUAUCAAUUGAGUUCAUGAUGAGAAAUACCAUCCUUGCCCUUGAUGAUUUGUUUUAUCAUCGACCACCUUAUUGACUUCCCUCCAACACAAACUUGUUCGUGUUUUGUGUAUACCUUGAGAUCCUUGCUACCCAGCAUUUGUUCUUCUUUACCUUGGAGUAUUACCAUCUUUUAUGUCAAGAAUGUCGUGAGAAUUUCACCAUGUCAUGAGAGUUCUUGGUAUUGUGAUACUUCUCACCCUCGCCAUUCUUUCUUGGUCCCCGUAUUGAUUCUAACCGGGAUACCAACACGUGAACCGUGCUGCUUGCGUUCUGUACUUCUAGCAACCCUAUUGCUUUGAAGUUAAUGGUCGAUAUUUCAUCCUUAGACCAUUGGUUAUCGAAUCACCAUUCUAACAUUGAUCAUGCUACCUAAGCCCAUAUUUCGGGUGCACCUUUCAACCAAUGUUUAACUGUGUAUGUUUUCCUCGAGCAUACUUCAUUAUAUCAUUUGAUAUGACAAAUGUUAACUCCUUGUUCACAUAAGUGUGGAAAUCGAUCUUUUGAAAAUCUCAAUGAAUUGUCGCUGAGUCAAUCAACCACCUCCUCACCUCUCCUUGAUUUAAUGAUGAACUCUUGUUUCGGAACUCGCUUCCAUAGUGCAAUUCUCGAGAAUCUUAUAAUGUCAUCUCGACAAUUUGUGUUGCACCUUUCUUCUCAGACAUCCCGAGUCUGAGCUAUCCUGACACCAAUCAGAUCUGAAUCUCGGUCAGAUAUGAUGGUUGGAACAUAUUUCCAAGAGUUAUAACAAUGGUGUUUAUGUGAACCAGUAAGGUGAUGUCGUGCCUAGCACACCUGGCCGGAGGCCCUAUUGUUAUAGUUUCCUUUUCAGCAAGGCUAUCCUUUCUUCCAUGAGGAAAUUGUAAGACUUAUUCUAUAAGUUGUUCCUGAUGGAUCCUUUUUGUUUCCAAAGUCUGAUCUUCACCUGUUGACCAUGUCAAUGCUAUCUCGAAGCAUGUCUAUGGUACUCUGAUUUUCAACAGGAACAUUUGAAUCCCAAUGUUAAAUGUUUCCUGCUCAAUUAUCCAAACACCGUUGUAUGGGUAAUGUCAUGAUAUUUCUCUCCCCUCUCCUAAAGGGUUUUCUAUGUUAUAUCCUAUCAUGGAUAUCAUGCUCUGCUUGUCCUUGGGAAGGAUAUACCCUUGAAAUAUGUGUUUAAACACAUUUUCCUUUCCAUUGUUCUGUUUGAUCUGAUGAUCACAUUUUCAUUUCCAUUGAUUUGUUUAACCUUCCUUGUGAUCCAUAUGAUCUAAGCAGUAAUAUUCUUCUGCUUAUGUAAACACCUUGGUGUACAACCGUGUCAAUAAGAACAUGUUGCAUUUGUUGAUAGCAUUCCCGUAACCACCGAUGGACGAGAACUUUACCUAUUGGUCGGCCUCGUUCAAUGAGCAGGAAAAUGGUUCUCUUCGUCCCUCGCCCUUGGUAUCGAUGUUGUUGCCGACAUAACCGACAGACUAUCCUCUGACAUGCCUUGCUUACGUGAUCGUGCAAGACGUCACCGCCCUUCCUACUUUAACCCACAUGGUCGGCCCAUAACCCACAGUUCCACAGGAUCAAAACCUGACUCUCCUGUACAUCAUUGUUCCCAAGGUUAUUCCUCACGCUUGGCUUCGUAUGAAAUUCAUGGGCCAUCGUCCUAGUGAUCUAUUUUGGUAACAGGCGCAAUACUCAAUCUCGUUGCUCUGGACCCCUUUCACACGGUCUUUUAGACAUCGAACGAUUGCCUAUUCGUUUGAAACUUCUCAUGGUACCUUCUUACUUUGCUCUCGAUAUCUUCUUAAGUUUCAACUCGGGAGAUACUUAUGCUUCUCCCCAUGAGUUAACCGUCCGAUGCUCAAUCUUGUUAGAAUUCGUCCUUAUAGAGCUUUUCCCCUCUUAUCCUUUCCUAAGUACGGUGAAGAUCCUGAAGGAAGGACGACAGCUACAUCAUGAUUACCUGAAGCAGAGGAACGAAGACAUCAAUAUAAUGGAUCGAUCUCUUCGAGAAGAGCAAGCAAGACCGAGAAGAUUCAUUAGAAUUUCGUAACCAGAUCUUUCCCCCUUACUCCACCUCUUAAAAUCUCGGGACGAGAUUUCUUGUACUGGACGAGAAUUGUGACGCCCGGAUAAUUAAGCUACAAUGAUCUCAUGCUAAUGAUGCCAUGUCAUUAUGAUUACUAUGCUAACUGCCGCCUGUUCCAAAUCAGCUCCAAAAAUCCAAUAUAAAUUGCAAUUGAGAAAACAUUUCUUCAAACUGACAAAUAAAAAUGUUGAAUGGGUUGAAAAUAUUCACUAAAUAAUUAACAUAUAGGAAACAACAUUAAAUGGAUUUUUAAAUUGCCCCUAGGAGUUUUUAGCGGAUCAACGGGAUUAAAUAAACACAUUUUAAUUCAAAUAUAAAUUUGAAUAGUCCCAAUUGGCCUCAAACCUUUUUGUACAUCCCUAUAAGAUAGCCUUGUAUUUAUGUGCUAACUCUCACAAUUAACAAAAAUCAUCUGACAGCAUAAAGUAAAUGCAAAACAUUGGAGAAAUUACAAAAUAGUAAAUAAAAAUAAGAAAAGAAAGAUGCCUAACUACUAC